UACGGAGGGGGCAAGCGUUGUCCGGACUUACUGGGCGUAAAGCGUGCGUAGGCGGUCCGCAAAGUCUGAUGUGAAAGCCCCGGGCUCAACCUGGGAACUGCAUUGGAAACUAACGGGCUCGAGUGUGGCAGAGGGGGGGUGGAAUUCCGCGUGUAGCAGUGAAAUGCGUAGAUAUGCGGAGGAACACCGAUGGCGAAGGCAAUCCCCUGGGCCUGCACUGACGCUCAUGCACGAAAGCGUGGGGAGCAAACAGG
Molecule: ribosomal RNA, 254 nt
Filed under: uncultured bacterium
Lineage: Bacteria
Description: partial 16S ribosomal RNA
Rfam family: Bacterial small subunit ribosomal RNA
Source: RNAcentral